GCCCAAUGACUAGUGGGAAGUAAUACAAAUUUAAGUUCUUUUUAUUAAGUCUCUCUUAGGGAGUUGUAAGCUAAUUAAUACUUUGGAAUUUCACUACACACUGGCCGACCCUUCUAAGGUCUAGGCUCGACAUUAUGUUGAUAGUAUAGUAGCAACCUUGGACCUUGAUGAAUCAUACUUAUCUAAUCCAAUAAAAAAAAAAAUCAAUAAAAAUGGAUUUAGUCAGGAACAUCGAAAAGGGCUACCUAUUGUCAAAGGUCAA
This 262-nucleotide long non-coding RNA is filed under the name Phoenix dactylifera (date palm). RNAcentral's name for it is "long non-coding RNA (PDAC_LNC019491)". Lineage: Eukaryota; Viridiplantae; Streptophyta; Magnoliopsida; Arecales; Arecaceae. The record is from RNAcentral.